CCGGGUGUCCCGUGGUGGUGCUGGGUGUCCCGUGGUGAUGCCAGAUGUCCCACUGUGGUGCUGGGUGUCCCGUGGUGAUGCCGGGUGUGCCAUGGUUGUACUGCCUGUAUCGUGGUGUUGCCAGGUGUCCCGUGGUUGUGCCAGGUGUGCCACAGUGAUGCUGGCUGUCCCAUGGUGGUGUCAGGUGUGCCGUAGUGGUGCUGGCUGUGCCAGGUGGCCCACGGUGGUGCCAAGUGUCCCAUGGCU
This is a long non-coding RNA of Harpia harpyja (harpy eagle), 246 nucleotides long. RefSeq lists it as uncharacterized. The record is from RefSeq and is a predicted model, not a curated record. The transcript has 2 exons. Lineage: Eukaryota; Metazoa; Chordata; Aves; Accipitriformes; Accipitridae.